GAUCAGGUACAUAAAAUAGUUAAUUUUAUUUUUCAUAAUUUCAGAACUGAUUUAACCUCAUUGUUCAAUUAUUGUGCCACUUCAGGUUCUCACUAUACAUGCUGGGCUUUGCUCCUUCGUGCAGUGUGAAACUCACUGGCAGAGGAUGUUGCCACCUCAUAGUCUCUUUUGAAGCACAGACUAUCACAGCCUGUGAGACAUUCUCAGGUCUAGGUCACUUCAUAGUGGGUAUGAACCCAACAAUGACUCAUACUGGAUCAUCUCCAUCUAUGGCAGGUAUACAGAUACAACUCCCAGCAGGCCUGUCCAUCAUUGCAGUUGUCCUCCUGCUGUUGGGGGCUCUGUUCUUCGUGCUGCUGGUACUGUUAAUGGGGCAGCUGAUCCAGAACAGGAAGCUGAGGAAAGCCUUAGCAAAGGCACAGAUUUUCAGGGGGCAUGAAGCUGUUUAUGAGGAAAUAGAGUACAAACUGGCCAGAGAGGGAACCUACAGCAUCCCCAGGAUAGGUGAGUGGAGAGAGUCUUCAGACAUGAUUGGUCCCAGCAGAGGGUCUGUAUAACCCUUCAUAACAAAGACUGACAAAUACAGAAACA
This 591-nucleotide long non-coding RNA is filed under the name Lepisosteus oculatus (spotted gar). RNAcentral describes it as "lncRNA (ENSLOCG00000022391.1)". Lineage: Eukaryota; Metazoa; Chordata; Actinopteri; Semionotiformes; Lepisosteidae. The record is from RNAcentral.